Molecule: long non-coding RNA, 586 nt
Organism: Galeopterus variegatus (Sunda flying lemur)
Lineage: Eukaryota; Metazoa; Chordata; Mammalia; Dermoptera; Cynocephalidae
Exons: 2
Source: RefSeq, a predicted model, not a curated record
GUAAGAUCCCUUCAAAUAGAGUCCUCCCCACGCCAGUUGCAUUCAGACCAUUAUCAUUGCACACAAUAUAAAUGAAGGCAGCUUGUACUAAGUUCCAUAUAAAAUCUAAUGGCUCUAUUUAGAUAGAUCUCAUUCUUUUUCUUGGAGACUUUUACACAAUGCUUCAAGAAGACCUAGAGCUAUUUUUUUUCAACAGGGUAGAUUAAGGUACGAGUGAAGUCUCACAAGGCUACUUGGACAGGGACUCCAUUUCUCUAACACUCUGACAUUGUUUUCUAAGAUGUACUCCUAACAUACCUUGCAUCAAAUACAUGUUUUUAAAAAUCAUCUUAGUUUCUGGUUGUCAAGCCCUACUAACAAUUUUCUGUCUGCUGUUGUGACUCAUUGGUAAUUGGUGUCUCUGGUCCCUCCUGCACAGUAGAUUAGAGAGAUGUGAAAUUCAGGCCAGAACCAUUUUGGUUUUGUCCAUUGUGAGAAAUGGAAGUGGCUAAAGUCUGACCUCACAUUCCAUGAAAUUAAAAACAAAAAACAGAAAAAUGCUUUCCCUACUAUCAUGUGUACCAGUUCUCAUCAUUGUAGUCUUGAA